GCUAGUAUCCACAAUAGAUAUUUUGGACAAAAAUAAAAAUUUAAUUUUUCUGUGAAUAGUGCCGUAUACGUAAAUAGUGUAGUAUACGUGAAUAGUAACCCCGACACUAAAAGAUAAGAAUUUCACAAGAAAAAUCUUACCAAUAUUCCGGCAUAAUGAUAUUAGAAGAAAUAAUAUCAUUUAAAAAAAAUAUAAUAUCCCUUACCUUGAAAAGACUGUACUUCUAGCUGGAAUACCGGAUAUAGUGUUGAAGGGAAC
RNAcentral lists this long non-coding RNA (258 nucleotides) under Panax ginseng (ginseng). Its description in RNAcentral is "long non-coding RNA (PGIN_LNC013251)". The record is from RNAcentral. Lineage: Eukaryota; Viridiplantae; Streptophyta; Magnoliopsida; Apiales; Araliaceae.